This 421-nucleotide ribosomal RNA is filed under the name uncultured bacterium. RNAcentral describes it as "bacterial SSU rRNA". It matches the Rfam family "Bacterial small subunit ribosomal RNA", at positions 355 to 774 of the family's 1533-position model. The record is from RNAcentral.
UGGGGAAUAUUGGACAAUGGGCGGAAGCCUGAUCCAGCAACGCCGCGUGAGGGAUGAAGGCCUUCGGGUUGUAAACCUCUUUCAGCACAGACGAAGCUGAUCCUUUUUGGGGUGGGUGACGGUAUGUGCAGAAGAAGGACCGGCCAACUACGUGCCAGCAGCCGCGGUAAUACGUAGGGUCCGAGCGUUAUCCGGAAUUAUUGGGCGUAAAGGGCUCGUAGGCGGUUUGUUGCGUCGGGAGUGAAAACCCAGGGCUUAACUCUGGGCUUGCUUCCGAUACGGGCAGACUUGAGGUAUUCAGGGGAGAACGGAAUUCCUGGUGUAGCGGUGAAAUGCGCAGAUAUCAGGAGGAACACCGGUGGCGAAGGCGGUUCUCUGGGAAUUACCUGACGCUGAGGAGCGAAAGUGUGGGGAGCGAACA